RNAcentral lists this long non-coding RNA (8392 nucleotides) under Elaeis guineensis (African oil palm). Its description in RNAcentral is "long non-coding RNA (EGUI_LNC015312)". Lineage: Eukaryota; Viridiplantae; Streptophyta; Magnoliopsida; Arecales; Arecaceae. The record is from RNAcentral.
UAUGAGAUACAUACAAUUUUGUUAUUAAGUUCUUCCAAUUCAGACUCUUGGGUAUUGGAUACCGCCUGCGGUUUUCAUAUAUGCAAGUCAUUGCAGGGGCUGCAGAACAUUAGAGUUUUGAAGAGGGAUGACUUCGAGCACUACGGUGCUAGAGGAGAGUUCAUCCAAGCAGAAGCUGUAGGGAUAUAUAUGUUGAAGUUACCUUCUGGAAAGAUCUUAGAGCUGAAAAAUUGUUACUAUGUGUCUAAGAUCAUUAGGAAUAUUAUUUCUGUACCGUUGCUAUUGCAACGAGAUUUUGAAAAAAAUGGAAAGAGCAAUAGUUGCUUAUUUUUUUUCUAAUAAAAUUCUCUGUCAUGGUAUUGUUAAUAAUGAUCUUUGGUUCUAUCUAAUGACAAUAUUUUUCAUAUUGAUAAAAGCAAAAAAUGAAAGAGAGAAGAUAUAAAUAAUAUUCUACUUUGGCAUUGUCGACUUGGUCAUAUAAGUGAGACAAGAAUUAACAAGUUAUAUAAAGAAGAGUUCUUUGAUUCUUAUGAUUGUGAAUCAUUAGGAACUUGUGAAUCUUGUCUUAUAGAUAAAAUGAUCAAGACUUCAUUUAGUGGACAUGGAGAAAGAACAAGUGAAUUAUUAGGACUUGUACAUACUGAUGUAUGUGAUCUUAUGACAACUGAAGCCAGCUUAUUUUAUUACGUUGACUGAUGAUUUAUUUAGGUUUGGAUAUGUGUAUCUUAUGAAAUACAAAUUCGAGAUCUUUGAUAAAUUUAAAGAGUAUCAAAGUAUGGUCGAGAAAUAAACUGAAAAAAAUAUUAAAAUCCUUCGAUCUGAUCGAGAAGAAGAAUACUUAUCAAGUGAAUUUCUAGAUUAUCUUAAAGAAAAAGGGAUUCUCUCAGAAUGGAUCCCUCCUUAUAUACCGCAGUUGAAUGGUGUAGCAGAAAGAAGGAAUCGCACUUUAUUAGAUAUGGUGCGGUCCAUAAUGUGCCUUACAGACUUGCCUAUUUUUUUUCUGGAGAUAUGUCCUAAAAACUGCUGUCUAUAUCCUGAACAGAGUACUUUCAAAAUCUGUGUCAAGUACUCCAUAUGAGAUAUAGAGAAGUAAAAAACCUAAUCUUAAGUAUCUUAAGAUUUGGAGCUGUUCAACUUAUAUUAAAAGAAAUUUUGGAUAUAAACUGAGUGCUAGGACAGAUAAAUGCUUAUUUGUAGGUUAUCCAAAAGAGAGUAUGGGAUAUCUCUUUUAUCAUUUUACUGAACAAAAGGUAUUUUUCAGUAAACAUGCCCUUUUUAUGGAAAAAAAGUUUAUCCUAGAAAGAGGCAGUGGGAAGAAAAUUGAAUUUGAAGAAGUUCAGGACCUACAAAUAGAAGUACAAGAUGAUCUUCAACCAGAAGUAUCUAUUGAUGAGGUACAACCAUAAAAUACACCUCUUCGAAGGUUAGAAAGGGUACGAAAUGCAUUUUUGAGGUACGGAUUCAUUAUUGAGAAUAAUGAAGCCCACAUCAUUGAGAAUGACGAAUCUUUGACCUAUACGGAAGCUGUUAUGAGUAAGGACUCAGAUAAAUGGUUAGAGGCUAUGAAAUCUGAAAUGGACUCAAUGUACUCUAACCAAGUAUGGACUUUGAUUGAUGCAUCAGAAGGUAUGAUAUCUAUUAGAUGCAAAUGGAUCUAUAAGAAAAAGAUUGGAGCAGAUGGCCAAGUCAAAACUUAUAAAGUCAGAUUGAUGGCUAAAGGUUUUAGACAAAAACAGGAUAUUGAUUAUGAUGAAAUAUUUUCAUCUGUUGCCAUGCUCAAAUCUAUACGGAUUAUGUUUGCUAUAGCAGCAUACCAUGAUUAUGAAAUAUAGUAAAUGGACGUAAAGACCGUCUUUCUUAAUAGUUAUCUUGAGGAAAAGAUUUACAUGUUUUAGCUAGAAGAAUUUAUCUCAAGUGAGAGAACAAAUCAAGUAUGUAAGUUUAAGAAAUCCAUUUAUGAAUUAAAGCAGGCUUCGAGGAGUUGGAACAUCCACUUUGAUGUUAUAGUCAAAGAGUUUGGCUUUAUCAAAAAUAUGAAUGAACCUUGUGUAUAUAAGAAGACUAGUGAAAGUGCUAUUGUCUUCUUAGUUUUAUGUGGAUGGCAUACUUCUCAUUGGGAAUGAUAUCCCAAUGUUACAAUCGGUCAAGACAUGGCUACAAGUAAAUUUUUCAUGAAGGAUUUGGAUGAAGCAUCCUAUAUAUUAGGUAUAAAAAUAUAUAGGGAUAGAUCUAAGAGGAUGUUAAGCUUGUCCUAAUUCAGGUACACAGAUUUUGUACUAAAAAGGUUUAGCAUGGAUGGGAGUAAAAGAGGUUACUGACUCAUAAGUCAAGACAUAAUUCUCUCUAAAAAGAUGUCUCCUAAAAUAUUGGAAGAGAAAAAUAGAAUGAGUUCUAUUUUUUAUGCUUUAGUAGUAGGGUCAAUUAUGUAUGCUAUGCUAUGUACCAGGCCUGAUGUUGCCUGUACCUUAAGCAUAGUUAGUAGAUUUCAGGCUGAUCCAGGUGAGAAUCAUUGAAAAGCAGUAAAAAAUAUUCUUAAGUACUUAAGAAUAUUUUUCUGAUAUAUGGAGGAUCUGAUCUAAAACUAGAAAGUUAUUCUGACUCUAGUUUUCAAUUAGACUCUGAUGAUAGCAAGUCCACUUCAGGGUAUGUCUUUACUCUAAAUGGUGGAGCAGUAAGUUAGAAAAGUUUUAAGCAGCAGAUUGUAGCUGACUCAACCACUGAGGCAGUAGAUAGUGCAAAUAAAGCCGCUAAGAAAGCUGUCUGGAUGAAGAAGUUCAUCACUGAAUUGGAUGUCGCUCCUAAAAUUGAGAACACAGUAUCAUUUUAUUGUGAUAAUACUAGAGCAGUUGCUCAAACGAAAGAAUCGAGAUCUCAUCACAAAUCCAAGCACAUUCUAAGGCGCUUUGACCUUGUUCGUGAAAUAGUCGAAAGACAAGAUGUAGUCAUAGAACGAGUAGAUACAAAGAACAACAUAGUAGAUUCGUUCCCUAAGACUCUACUACAACAGCAGUUCGAUCGCCACCUCGAUUGUAUGGGAAUAAAAUAUAAGGGCGAUUGAUUUUAGUGCAAGUGAAAGAUUGAAAGGAAUAUGUCCUAUAAGUCAAUUGAAAUUUGUAUUUUGAUGAAUUUUUCUUGUAUCUUCCAGACUCAUGUAAUUAAUACUUUAUAAAUAAAAGGCAUUUAUUUUUCAUCAUAUGCUGCAUCUUACUUUUGUAAUGAUUAUGAUAAANNNNNNNNNNNNNNNNNNNNUUGAACAAAAAUAAGUGCAAUGGAAAAUGAGAUUGAAUAACUUAAAGAAGCAUUUAUACAAUCAUAUAAUGGGGAAUGCAUGUGACUAAUGCACAUGGCCAGAAACUUUACAAUGUCGAUUAGAUUUUUGGGCUUUGAGGCUUCUACAUAUUUAAGACCUUAUAAAGGUAAGUAAGAAUCCUUCACCCAACGAUGUGGGUCUAAUUUAUAAUAUGCAUGAUAAUAAUACUUUUCAAGUGUGCAGUAUAUAUAAACUACUGAAAGGAAUAUGUCCUACAAGUCAAUCGAAAUUUGUAUUUUGAUAAAUUUUUCUUGUAAUCUUUCAGACUCAUGCAAUUGACACUUUAUAAAUAAAAUGCAUUUAUUUUUCAUCAUAGACUGCAUCUUACUUUUGUAAUGAUUAUGAUGAACUCCAUAAAUCAGGACAAUGGCUUUAGGGUUAUGAUGAGAUCAUACCUAUGAGACCUAAAAUUCUAAAAAUCCUGAUUUAGAAUAUUCCUAGUCAUAGGAGUAUUGAGUAGGAGAUCAAUAUUUCGGAUAGACUGGCACUUCCUAUGUAUGCUCGAUGGAGAAGGUGACUGAUCUCAUAAGCCACUUGUGUGAGAUAUUAAUACAAGGAUCUGGGUACUCAUUAGAAAAUGAGUUCAUUGAAUUGAUCCGAUUUAAGAAACAUCUUAUGGAAUCGACUUACCCAUCAAAAGAUGUUUUCUUAUAGUGGGAGUUGUGCAUAUAAUUUUUUGACCUGAGACUACUAUAGAAUCUUGUACACAGGAAUCUGUAUUUUGGUUCAUACGCAUUCAUGACUUAGUCAUGUACGAGGUGUUCUGGAUAUGAUGGAAUGUGUAUAGAGGUUGUGAGUAGGUCAACAUAGAAUCGAUCACUCCUGCUAAGAUGAGAUUGCAUCCUACUCGCUCUAAUUGACUGAUGAUUCAGAGAGUCUUUGAUCAAAGCAAAAUAAAAAUUAGAAAGAGUUUCUAAUAUUUUAUUAAUUGAAUCAUCAUUAAAAAUUAAGAGAAAUAUGAAUAUGAUAUUGGAUUUGACAUCAUUUUAUAUUCAGAGUCAUAUUCGGGAUACAGGUUGAUCGUAGGAUCGAAUUGUACGGUAACUUUUCAUUGAGGGAUAUUUUUGAUAUUUUUAUCAAAAUUUCAUAUCUUUCAGAUAGACAUGAUACGUUGCUAGAUGUCUAUCUUGUCUUGUGGGUUUGAUCGAAUUAAAGAGUUUAAUUCGAUCGCCGAUUAAAAAAGAUUGUAAUUGCUGAAAUUGGGUUAGUUCGAUUGGAUCUAAAUCGAUUAAAUUAGAUUCUAAUCAAAUCAGAUCAACUUACAUCUAGACCUACUAUUGGUUAGAUGUGGAACCCAAUGGGUCACAUGCAAAGAAAAUUGAUCAGACGUCUAAUUGGAUUAGAUCAUGUUUGCAAGAUGAACAUGCAAGCACAUAUUGCGAACGCAAGCUCCUUGUUUCGAAUCGGAUUCGAAUUUGGUUUCAGAUUGGACUAAUUAAAUCCAAUUAAACUCAAACCAAUUUUGGUUUCAAAUUGGGUUAACCCUUAGCUGAGUGAGUCAAGUUUGUUGGUGCAUAAAAUCAGAUUUUCACAUUCACAAAAUAAUUUUUUGUCACGUGGGAAAGUUUGUUGGGAGCGCAGAAUUCAGAUUGGCGUCUCAUGAGAUGGGAUGCCCCUUUCCUAGCCUAUCUUUUUUGUUUCACAUUGAAAUUCAUAUGGGGCGUGGCAUUUUAAGUUGGCUUCAGAGUUUUGGUUGAAUGGAUGGGAUUUGAUCAAGUUAGACUUGAUCUUAUCCAAAACCUAGUCGCCCCUAUCAAGAUUGGCGGCCUCUUAAAUUAAUUCAUGCCAAUUCAUCUCCAAAUUUUUUCCACAUCUACUUCUGAUUAGCGCCUCCCUUGUGAACCAUUGGAUGGCUUUGUGCGCUGAUCAAGGGUGGAGAAGUGAGGCACCAAUUAAAAAAGUUGCGCGACCCUUCGGAGAAACACCACAUAAUUUUUUUCGAAGAGUCCUUCUGCGUGAAGCGACUCUUGGAAUUAAUUCUGAUGCUUCCACGUAAGAGAUCAGACUUGGACCAACAUGUGAAGGGUGGAAGGUGUGAGAAUGGGCGUGAGAAAUUGCUUGGAAGGGUGCAAGAUGAUUGGAUAAGCGUUCGAUCUCCAAAUAUAAAAGGGGACGCACGCCGGGUUCCGAUUCAUUCAAAAAAUCAUAAUCUCUUCUUUCUUACACAAGUCUCCCCUCUUGUCCAAUUAUUCCUUUCCUUUCCUUGUUAGGACAAGUCCUAAAAUAGUCAGGACAAGUCCGAUUUUAGGACAAGAGCCUAGGAAGAGAUAUAAGGAAGAUAAAGAGACAAGAAAGGUAGAGAUAGGAAGGCUAAGAGGAGAGGAAGGAGGUCCUGAAGUUCUGCUGCUCAAAGAAAUUCUUAGAGUGAGAAUUUUAUAGGAAGAAUCAUCUUAAGGAGUUGGUGUCUUGAUCAAAGUCCUAUGUAGAUCAUCGUUGGAGGGCGAAUACUUAGGCGCUUGGUGGAGGUUCUGUCGGAGUUUUGGAAUAAAUGUUGCGGGUAUUCUUUUAUACCUAGAAUUUUGUUAUGAAAAUGUUUUAUAUGAUUGUUAAUCAUCAAGGAGAUGCUGGUUAAGGGUUUAAUGUUUAUGAUUUCAUAGUUUAAAUUUUUGAAAUCCGUGCUUCUGCUAUACCAUCAUAACCUUAGAGUGGUAUCAGAGUCGGUCUUGUUUGGUUCAAUCAUAUAUAAGAUAAUAUUUAUGUAAUGCAUACUAUGAUUCGUGUUAUGCAGAUGUUCAUAGUUUAAAAUUAAUUAUGCUUGAAUUAUGCUUUCAUAUUUUUGAUAUGAAUUGAUACGUAUAUGAUCCAUUACUUCAUCAUUCUGAAAUAAGGUUGUCCUAGCAUAACGGGGUUAUGCUGCAAGAUUGUCCUGGAAUGAUGAAUGUUCAUAUGUCACAAUGGCACAUAUAAAAUGUUUAAUGCUAAUAUAUAUUAGUGUGCAUUAGCAUUAUGAAAUUAGAAUGUGCAUGAGACCAAUGAAGUCCUUAUAAAAUUAUAUUAAGUAGUAGUGAAAGCAACUAUAGGUUAACCAAUUUUUGAUCAAUUGAUUAAUUGGUGUCUAGAAAAGUGCUAAAGGUGGUUCUUUAAUUGGUUCCGUUAACUGACCUGAUCAAUUUAUUGGUGUCUAAGGAAAGCAACGGGGGGACCCCCACCUGCUUACCUGGCCAAUUUGAUUGAGCGAUCUUGAAAUUAAAAAAUGCUAAUGUUGAAAAUACUACUAGGGGCCUUCCUUUAUGUUAGGUUAAUGUUACAUCGUGAACUAUGGCAAGUUUGUUGUGUUACCACAAGGCUUGCCAUGGGGACUGAUAUAACAUAAUCCUGAUGCAUAGAAGAUGUUUACGGCAAUUUUGGGUAUACUGCUUUAUUGUAUUACCAUAAAAGCAGUAAUAUUCGAAUUUGACUUUAUUGAAAUGAAUGUUCGUACUUAACUAAAAUAUUAUAGCUUGUUGUGUUAUCACAAAGCUAAUAAUGUUUUAGAGGCUAAGAUAAAAUUGAAAAUUACAUGAGAUGCAAUUUGAAAUAGUUUCGUACCUAUGAACUCAUAAGGAUUUGUUGUGUUACCACAAGAUCAUUGUGAGGAAUUAGGAUCUCAAUCCCACUAAGAUAAAUAUACAAUAUGUCUCGUUCAUCAUAGUAGAGGGUUAUGAUGUUCGAUAAAAUAGUGGGAGGCACAAUUAAAUCUAAAAGAUCUUAUUUAAUUGUGUUAGUCAUCAUGAGUUGUUUGUUUAUGUUAUGUUCUUUAUUUAUUGUAGAUUAAAUUUUAUAAAUGGCAUCUUCAUUAUUUUUGUGAGGAAUUUUAGAUUCCAACAAGUUGACCGGUCUCAAUUACGUGGACUGUUUGAGGAAUUUAAAGAUUGUACUCACUCAGGAGAAACUCUCUUACAUUCUUGAUGUUCCUGAACCACAAGAAGUUGGGGAUGAUGCCACUGAGAAAAAGGUAUCCACGUACAGGAUGUGGAAGAAUGACAGUUUAACUGUCAAAUGCAUCACACUGACCUUUAUGAGCAAUAAAUUGCAAAGGCAAUAUGAGAGUAUGGAUACUCAAUCCAUACUCCUCAAUCUUAAAGAGUUGUAUGGAGAGCAGAGUAGGACUUCUAGGUAUGAGAUAUCUAAGCAGUUAUUUCGUGCUAGAAUGAAUGAAGGAUCAUCCGUACAAGAUCAUGUCCUUAAAGUCAUUGACUUGAUCACUAGAUUCGGUCAAUUGGGUUUUGUGAUGAAUGGAGUAUUGAGUCAGAAUUUGAUCCUGCAAUUUCUCUCUGAAUCAUUCACUCAAUUUGUUGUGAAUUAUCAUAUGAACAAACUGAAUACCUCUUUGCCUGAGUUGUGAAACAUGCUUAAAACAGCUGAGAGCCACAUUAAAAAGGAAAAAGGCUCCAUUUCUUCUUAUGGAUAAAAUUUUUAAGAAGAAAUCAUGCAUUAAGGGUUCAAAGAAAGCAUUGAACCCUAAAGGUAGCAAGAUGAAGAAGAAGGGGAAAAAAGUCUCUGGACUAGGUAUUUGCUUUCAUUGCGGCAAAGUAGGACACUGGAAAAGGAAUUGCAAGUUUUAUCUUGAAACUGUAAAGACUGGUGCAAGCGACGCACAAAGAUAUGUACGAGAUACAUACAAUUUUGUUAUUAAGUUCUUCCAAUUCAGAUUCUUGGGUAUUAGAUACCGCCUGCGGUUUUCAUAUAUGUAAGUCAUUGCAGGGGCUGCAGAACAUUAGAGUUUUGAAGAAGGAUGACUUCGAGCUCUACAGUACUAGAGGAGAGUUCAUCCAAGCAGAAGCUGUAGGGACAUAUAUGUUGAAGUUACCUUCUGGAAAGAUCUUAGAGCUGGAAAACUGUUACUAUAUGCUUAAGAUCAUUAGGAAUAUUAUUUCUGUAUCGUUGCUAUUGCAACGAGAUUUUGAAAAAAAUGGAAAGAGCAAUAGUUGCUCAAAUUUUUUUUCUAAUAAAAUUCUCUGUCAUGGUAUUGUUAAUAAUGAUCUUUUGGUUUUAUCUAAUGACAAUGUUUUUCAUAUUGAUAAAAGCAAAAAAUGAAAGAGAGAAGAUAUAAAUAAUAUUUUACUUUGGCAUUGUCGACUUGGUCAUAUAAGUGAGACAAGA